RNAcentral lists this long non-coding RNA (452 nucleotides) under Zea mays. RNAcentral describes it as "long non-coding RNA NONZMAT003779". Lineage: Eukaryota; Viridiplantae; Streptophyta; Magnoliopsida; Poales; Poaceae. The record is from RNAcentral.
GGAGGUACUGCUGUAUAUCUCAUUACCAAACAACACCUUCGGUGAAACUAGUACUACAAUACACAGGGUUGCACAGGGUUUCUUCCAAACAAGUCCUCUAGUUUACAAGUUACACAGGGUUGUAUUGUACAGUUGCCUGCUUCGAGUACACAGCGGCAGUUUUUGGCCUAUAUCAUGCAUGCAUGCAUGCGUCCAUCAACCUGCCGCUACCCAGGGGACAAAUGACAAAUCACUUCGAUCAUGCCGCCUCAAGUUUCAGUCUGGCAGCUGGAAGCAGCAGUUACAGUUUAUGAUGCCCAAGGGCAUGCACGAAUGCCACAAUUCAGGCUUGCAGUAGACUCCAAAUGGGAGAGAACUGGCCAUCCGUCUGUCUAUGCUGCGACCGCAAAUGAACCGCGAACUAGCUGGCGGAGCAGCAAACCAUGACAACCCUGUGUAAGAAAAAAAAUAAA